This 501-nucleotide ribosomal RNA is filed under the name uncultured bacterium. RNAcentral's name for it is "partial 16S ribosomal RNA". It matches the Rfam family "Bacterial small subunit ribosomal RNA", at positions 30 to 523 of the family's 1533-position model. The record is from RNAcentral.
AUUGAACGCUGGCGGCAGGCUUAACACAUGCAAGUCGAGCGGGGGAAGGUAGCUUGCUACCGGACCUAGCAGCGGACGGGUGAGUAAUGCUUAGGAAUCUGCCUAUUAGUGGGGGACAACAUCUCGAAAGGGAUGCUAAUACCGCAUACGUCCUACGGGAGAAAGCAGGGGAUCUUUGGACCUUGCGCUAAUAGAUGAGCCUAAGUCGGAUUAGCUAGUUGGUGGGGUAAAGGCCUACCAAGGCGACGAUCUGUAGCGGGUCUGAGAGGAUGAUCCGCCACACUGGGACUGAGACACGGCCCAGACUCCUACGGGAGGCAGCAGUGGGGAAUAUUGGACAAUGGGGGGAACCCUGAUCCAGCCAUGCCGCGUGUGUGAAGAAGGCCUUAUGGUUGUAAAGCACUUUAAGCGAGGAGGAGGCUACUCUAGUUAAUACCUAGGGAUAGUGGACGUUACUCGCAGAAUAAGCACCGGCUAACUCUGUGCCAGCCGCCGCGGUAA